CUGGUCGUCCCUCUGGUGUCCUCUAGCGCCGAUUCUCCUCCACGGCGGCGCUGCAAGGCGAUGCAGGUUGGUGUUUUCGGACCCGGUCGGAAUUCCUUGUUCCGACGUCGGCAAGGCUUCGAGUUUCCUUGGUUGGGCUCAGAGAAGCCUCGCCGAUCGAUCCUUGGUGUUUGUUUGGAUCGAUUCACAUGAAACUUCGAUCAACUCAGUUGGGAUUACUGUUCAGGGCUUGUGAGGGGUUAAUCUUGCAGGUCAGGGAAAUCGUGGCUGAAGCUGAGGUAUCUAGUUGGCAGCAGAACUGGUAGGAAGCAAAUUUGAUCUGGCUUUACCAUUGCUAUGACUUCCGCUUUGUAGUGAACUCUGAGGAGUAUUUACGUUUUAUUUUGUGAUGGCAAUUUAAUUCGUAAACUUAUGUAAUAUAUAACUCUGUUGAGCGAGUGUAUAUUAACUUGGAUUGGUUCAGGGCAUCA
Molecule: long non-coding RNA, 470 nt
Organism: Rosa chinensis
Lineage: Eukaryota; Viridiplantae; Streptophyta; Magnoliopsida; Rosales; Rosaceae
Exons: 2
Source: RefSeq, a predicted model, not a curated record